Molecule: ribosomal RNA, 497 nt
Filed under: uncultured bacterium
Lineage: Bacteria
Description: partial 16S ribosomal RNA
Rfam family: Bacterial small subunit ribosomal RNA
Source: RNAcentral
GAUGAACGCUGGCGGCGUGCCUAAUACAUGCAAGUCGAGCGAACAGACGAGGAGCUUGCUCCCCUGACGUUAGCGGCGGACGGGUGAGUAACACGUGGAUAACCUACCUCUAUGACUGGGGUACAUUCGGGAGACCGGAGCUAAUACCGCAUAAUCUAUUGAACCGCAGGGUUCAGUAGUGAAAGACGGUUUUGCUGACUCUUAUAGAUUGAUCCGCGCCGCAUUAGCUAGUUGGUAAGGUAACGGCUUACGAAGGCAACGAUGCGUAGCCGACCUGAGAGGGUGAUCGGCCACACUGGAACUGAGACACGGUCCAGACUCCUACGGGAGGAAGCAGUAGGGAAUCUUCCGCAAUGGGCGAAAGCCUGACGGAGAAAGGCGGCGUGGGGGAUGAAGGCCUUCGGAUCGUAAACCUCUGUUAUUGGGGAAGAACAACUGUGUACGUAACUUUGCACGUCUUGACGGUACCUAAACAGAAAGCCACGGCUAACUACGUG